AGAGACGAAACAAGUGAUGUGGAGAAAACUUAUAAAAGCGACCUCAGUUCGGAUUGAAGGCUGAAAUUCGCCUUCAUGAAGUCGGAAUUGCUAGUAAUGGCAGGUCAGCAUACUGCCGUGAAUACGUUCCCGGGCCUUGUACACACCGCCCGUCACACCAUGAGAGUUGGAGAUACCCGAAGCCUAUGAGCUAACUUUUAGAGGCAGUAGUCGAAGGUAGAAUCAAUGAUUGGGGUGAAGUCGUAACAAGGUACC
RNAcentral lists this ribosomal RNA (255 nucleotides) under uncultured bacterium. RNAcentral's name for it is "partial 16S ribosomal RNA". It matches the Rfam family "Bacterial small subunit ribosomal RNA", at positions 1245 to 1500 of the family's 1533-position model. The record is from RNAcentral.